GACGAACGCUGGCGGCGUGCUUAACACAUGCAAGUCGAGCGGUAAGGCCCUUUCGGGGGUACACGAGCGGCGAACGGGUGAGUAACACGUGGGUGACCUGCCCUCAGCUCUGGGAUAAGCCUGGGAAACCGGGUCUAAUACCGGAUAUGACUCCAUGACGCAUGUUGUGGGGUGAAAGCCUUGUGCGGCUGAGGAUGGGCCCGCGGCCUAUCAGCUUGUUGGUGGGGUGAUGGCCUACCAAGGCGACGACGGGUAGCCGGCCUGAGAGGGCGACCGGCCACACUGGGGACUGAGACACGGCCCAGACUCCUACGGGAGGCAGCAGUGGGGAAUCUUGCGCAAUGGGCGAAAGCCUGACGCAGCGACGCCGCGUGAGGGAUGACGGCC
Molecule: ribosomal RNA, 387 nt
Filed under: uncultured bacterium
Lineage: Bacteria
Description: bacterial SSU rRNA
Rfam family: Bacterial small subunit ribosomal RNA
Source: RNAcentral